This 449-nucleotide ribosomal RNA is filed under the name uncultured bacterium. RNAcentral describes it as "partial 16S ribosomal RNA". It matches the Rfam family "Bacterial small subunit ribosomal RNA", at positions 29 to 523 of the family's 1533-position model. The record is from RNAcentral.
AACGAACGCUGGCGGCAUGCCUAACACAUGCAAGUCGAACGAGAUCUUCGGGUCUAGUGGCGCACGGGUGCGUAACGCGUGGGAAUCUGCCCUUUGGUUCGGAAUAACAGUUGGAAACGACUGCUAAUACCGGAUGAUGACGAGAGUCCAAAGAUUUAUCGCCAGAGGAUGAGCCCGCGUAGGAUUAGCUAGUUGGUGUGGUAAAGGCGCACCAAGGCGACGAUCCUUAGCUGGUCUGAGAGGAUGAUCAGCCACACUGGGACUGAGACACGGCCCAGACUCCUACGGGAGGCAGCAGUGGGGAAUAUUGGACAAUGGGCGAAAGCCUGAUCCAGCAAUGCCGCGUGAGUGAUGAAGGCCUUAGGGUUGUAAAGCUCUUUUACCCGGGAUGAUAAUGACAGUACCGGGAGAAUAAGCUCCGGCUAGCUCCGUGCCAGCCGCCGCGGUAA